RNAcentral lists this ribosomal RNA (497 nucleotides) under uncultured bacterium. Its description in RNAcentral is "partial 16S ribosomal RNA". It matches the Rfam family "Bacterial small subunit ribosomal RNA", at positions 28 to 507 of the family's 1533-position model. The record is from RNAcentral.
GAUGAACGCUGGCGGCGUGCCUAAUACAUGCAAGUCGAGCGAACGGACGAGAAGCUUGCUUCUCUGAUGUUAGCGGCGGACGGGUGAGUAACACGUGGAUAACCUACCUAUAAGACUGGGAUAACUUCGGGAAACCGGAGCUAAUACCGGAUAAUAUUUUGAACCGCAUGGUUCAAAAGUGAAAGACGGUCUUGCUGUCACUUAUAGCUGGAUCCGCGCUGCAUUAGCUAGUUGGUAAGGUAACGGCUUACCAAGGCAACGAUGCAUAGCCGACCUGAGAGGGUGAUCGGCCACACUGGAACUGAGACACGGUCCAGACUCCUACGGGAGGCAGCAGUAGGGAAUCUUCCGCAAAGGGCGAAAGCCUGACGGAGCAACGCCGCGUGAGUGAUGAAGGUCUUCGGAUCGUAAAACUCUGUUAUUAGGGAAGAACAUAUGUGUAAGUAACUGUGCACAUCUUGACGUUACCUAAUCAGAAAGCCACGGCUAACUACGUG